GAGGGUAGAGCUCAAUCAGGAGAGCAUAUGCCUAGCAUACAUGAGGUCCUGGGUUCAAGCCCUACUACCUCCC
Molecule: transfer RNA, 73 nt
Filed under: Camelus bactrianus (Bactrian camel)
Lineage: Eukaryota; Metazoa; Chordata; Mammalia; Artiodactyla; Camelidae
Also listed under: 1 other name
Rfam family: tRNA
About the family: Transfer RNA (tRNA) molecules are approximately 80 nucleotides in length. Their secondary structure includes four short double-helical elements and three loops (D, anti-codon, and T loops).
Source: Rfam by way of RNAcentral